UACGUAGGAUGCGAGCGUUGUCCGGAAUUAUUGGGCGUAAAGAGAACGUAGGUGGCUGAUUAAGUUCGGUCUUAAAGACCGGGGCUCAACCCCGGGAAUGGACUGAAAACUGGUUAGCUAGAGGAUGUUAGAGGACGGUGGAAUUCCCAGUGUAGCGGUGAAAUGCGUAGAUAUUGGGAGGAACACCAGUGGCGAAAGCGGCCGUCUGGAACAUUCCUGACACUGAGGUUCGAAAGCUCGGGGAGCAAAC
Molecule: ribosomal RNA, 250 nt
Filed under: uncultured bacterium
Lineage: Bacteria
Description: partial 16S ribosomal RNA
Rfam family: Bacterial small subunit ribosomal RNA
Source: RNAcentral